Molecule: long non-coding RNA, 1830 nt
Organism: Bolinopsis microptera
Lineage: Eukaryota; Metazoa; Ctenophora; Tentaculata; Lobata; Bolinopsidae
Exons: 4
Source: RefSeq, a predicted model, not a curated record
AUUUUAGGUAUGUGUGUGAAACAUCAGAACUGAAUAAUGGACCAGAGAAUUCAGAGAUCUUUGGUUACCUGUUUCCGGUUUCGUCGGUUCACAUUGCUGCGUUCCUGACCUAGCUUCGCCUCCAUCAUUAGAUCAUAUUAUAAUAUGCAUUAUAGACUAUAGUUAUACAGCUUGAAUUUGAAAGAGCUACAUGGUCGUUGUUUCGAGUGCUUUUUCAUCUGCUGUGACAGACAGCAUCAACGGUUACCAACAUAAUAGGUGCAUUGCAAGUUGUGCAAUGCUGAAUGCAUACGUUUCGUCAGUGACUUCCUUCUGCCUCAUUGAUGCGAAACUGAUAAUAAACAUGCAAGAGAAUACAGCUAUAGUUACUCUGGACUGCCAUGAUAGAAACAUUGAAACAGAUAUUGACUGGCUUUAGGUUUUUAUUGGUGUUGCAAACGAUGAAACGAUCACUAAAUUCUGUGCCUAUGUGAGAUUUGUUGGUUCAUCGAAUAACAUCAAACUUACAGUAAGGUAAACGGUCAAGCAAAGUGUGCAAGGUCGUUGAUGGAGUAUUCCAUGUGAAAUCCUCUCACCAGUCUGAGCCCCACCAACUGAACAUCAGAGGACCAACUUGCACCUGCAGAAACUUCAGCAGGACUCACAUCCCCUGCAGACAUAUUUUUCAAGCUAUCGAUGAUGGUUUAAUGAAAUGGGAGGACCUACCUGAAGAUUACAGAAACAUACCGUUCUUCGUAAAAGAUAAAGGAAGUGAUAUUGGGAUAUGGCCAGCUGAUGCAGAUGUAAACAAAUGCUGCGAUUAUCCAGCAUCAGAAGACGAGGAUGAAGAAGUAGAAGAUGAUGAGGUUGGAGGAAAUGGGGAUAAAAGAAAGAAGAAACGGGACAUAGACUAUAUAAAGGAGAUUGGCGGGAGCUUUCAAACAGAAUAACUUCCUUCGUUAAUGAUCCCGAGUUUGACGUGAUGGACGAUGAUGUCCGUGCAUUAUUAUAUAAGAAACUGUCAGAUACCGCCAAUGAUGUGGCAUCCUAUAUUUACAAAAGAAACUAAUAUAGAUAACAUAGAUAAGAUUAUGUUUGAUAAUAUAUUACUUUAAAAGCCGUGCAAUCAUUUUAGAUAUUAGAUAUUAAACUAACCAUAUUAUGAUAUUCUCCGUCUAACUAUUCGAUCUGUCACCAUCUCACUAUUCAAUCUGUCUCAACGUUCAUUCUCUGUUUAACUAUUCAAUCUCUGUCUCAGUGUUCAUUUUCUUGUUUAACUAUUCAAUCUUUGUCUCAGCGUUCAUUCUCUGUCUCGACAUUCAUUUUCCGUCUGACUAUUCAAUCUGUCUCAAUGUUCAUUCUCUGUCUCGACGUUCAUUCUGCGUCUCACUAUUCAAUCUGUCUCAAUGUUCAUUCUCUGUCUCGACGUUCAUUCUCCGUCUCAAUAUUCAAUCUGUCUCAACGUUCAUUAUGUGUUUAACUAUUCAAUCUCUUUCUCAGUGAUCAUUCUCUGUUUAACUAUUAAAUCACUGUUCAUUCCUGUCUCGACGUUAAUUCUCCGUCUCAUUAUUCAAUCUCUGCAUCAGUGUUCAUUCUCUAUUUUAGAGUUAAUUCCCUGUCUUACCUUUCAAUCUUUCUCGGUGUUCAUUCUCUGUCUGACUGUUCAAUUUCUGUCUCACUGUCCAUUCUCUGUCUCGCUGUUCAAUCUUCGUGUUUCUUUCAAAGUGUUACAGUGACAAGGAGACCGAAUGAUAUUGUUGUAAAAUAAAAAGCUUGUCCGCUUUAGUUAUAGUGAUAUUAAAACAUAUACAACACCAUGUAUUAUGAAAUUUUAGAUUUUGUUACAAAAUA